Molecule: long non-coding RNA, 3878 nt
Filed under: Marmota monax (woodchuck)
Lineage: Eukaryota; Metazoa; Chordata; Mammalia; Rodentia; Sciuridae
Source: RNAcentral
UCGAGCCACGGCUCCCACACGGCACCCCAGUGCCUCUGUAUCAGGGUGUCUGAAGGCAGGAAGCCUCGGAGCACCACAGAGGAGCAGCAGGCUCAGGCCGCCGUGGAGAGAGAGCCAAGGUCUCCAACCACCCUCCCUGACCUUCUUCACGCAGGCACCAGAGACCCCUGUGUGUGCAGGGGGCGGAGCUUUGCUCCAUGGCAACCUCAUCACCAUGGUAACUGCAAACUGGUCCAAUGGGGCAUCUUACAGUAGAGGGAGCAGGAAGGGAGCUGGGGGUCACGGGUACCACGGCGUCCCAGGGAGCUGGCGUUGGUGGAGGUGUCCGUGCUGACGACGACGAUGGGCAUGCCACCUACAUCACUGGGGGAGGGGCUGUGCGUGUCGCCCACCUGUGGCCCACCAUGGGCCCUCCUUGCACUCCAUGUUGUGGGUGGGAAGGGGGUCGAGGCUCGCCAAGCCCACGGUCAGGAGGUGGAGAAAGCAGGUGCUGGCCUGGGCCUGGGUGCCCAGGGGCCCGUGGCCUGGUCCUGGCCACCCUCACGUGACCCCCAGCUUCACAGCAGGCAGUGGAGCACCAGUCCCGCGGGCAACCCCAAGCCGCCGGCCACCACCCUGGCUCUGUGUCCUCCUUGCACGGCCUCCUGAACAGGGUUGGUGAGGACGGAGAGGCUGGACGUCCGAGGGGUUUUCAGGAAGAAGGUUCGCUGACUGCGGUGGUCCAGAGAGGGCUGUCGCCCGAGACCCUCUGAACAAGGGUUCCGGAAGUUCCUGGGACUUCCCACCCCGGGGAGGCGGGGCUCGGGCUCGCUCAGAGAGAGCCUCCCUUGGAGCUCUCAGGAGGCGCCUGGUCUCCUUUCUCAGAACCACGGAGGCCCCCGCAGACGCAGCUUCUGAGGACAGAGCGGCAGGGACAGGCAGCCGGCCACAGCGAGCCUCUGUGAGCUCCUGGGAGGCUCUUUACCGCAGGUCCUCUGCGGUCUGCAGCCUGCCCAGGGUCAGCACUCGCCCAUCCUGCCUGGGCCUGGCCGGUCACGGCCGUCUGCAGAACCCAGGACCCGGCGCUUGCGGGCACAGAGCGGACGGAGGUUCACCACCGAGGCUCGGCUGGAAGGCCUCCACGUGCAGCUCACUCUGUGUGCUGGCCUGAGUGUGUGCACACUGCCCCGCAUGCGCUCACACACACAAAACACCACAUAGACACACACCACACACACACACACACCCCACACCACAUACCACACACACACACCAACACACACCACACAGACACACCAACACACACCAUGCACACACCAACACACACACAAAACCACAUAGACACACACACCACACACACACACACACACACACACCACAUACCACACAGACACACACACACACCCCACACACCACAUACCACAUGGACACACACACACCCCUCACAGACACACAUACCAUACCACACCACAUGGACACACACACACCCCACACAGACACCCCCCACACACACACCCCACACAGACACACAACACCCCCCCACACACACACCACAUACCAUAUGGACACACACACACACACCACAUACCACACAGACACACACACACCACAUACCACAUGGACACACACACACCCCUCACAGACACACACACACCACAUACCACACAGACACACACACACCACAUACCACAUGGACACACACACACCCCACACAGACACGAGGAGAAGUGGCCCCUGACCCUGGAGACCAAUGUCUUCUCUCUUCUCAGGGAUGGGGACCUGUGGGCCUGAGGGACAGGUCCAGCUGAACCUGGAAGAACUCUGGCUGAUGUGGACCUGUCCCUCAGGAAACGGCCUGGACACCGUCCCCAUAGCUGGACCCCAUCUGUGCGUCUUUUGGUGCCCCCUGGUCAGCCGUCCAUCUUCAUUCUGAGGAGACCAUUCCCUGGAGCCGUCACCUGCUCCCAGGUGGUCCCCCAGCUUCUACCCUCUUAGUAGCUCUGACAGUUCUUCCUUGGGUCUACCUGGCAUCCUCUAGGGAGGCCUGGCUGUUCCUCCUUGUGCUUUGGCCACACGGCCAAGGGGUACAGAGGGUGGGACACACUAGGGAGUCUCUGAAGACAAAAAGCCGGUUCCCUGCAGGACAGGCCUUUUCCCUCCUACCAGCUCACCAAUCCCUUCCUCACUUAGUCAAGAAAGUGGCGCAGGACAUUCUGUGUCAAGGGCCACUAGGCGAGGCUGGGGCCUCCACAGGAAAGCCCGGCUCCUGCCUCGCACCGGCUGACCCCACGCCCUCCCGCUUGCCCAGAGAGGCCCACUCUCCUCCCUCCCUGAGGUCAGGGCCUCCACCAGGCAGAGGCUGUGGCAGAGAGACUGCGCUUCCUGGGGUCUCUCCUGAGCACCUAAGGGAGACAGGGAGGAGGAUGGUUAUCCCAGUGACCCACCCAGCACCCACCCAGCACCCCCACACCUACUGAGCAUCCCAGUAGCAACUGACAUCCCGCACCUACUCAGUGCCCCAGCACCCACUUAGCAACAUAGCACUGCUUGGAGCCCCAGCACCCACGCAGCACCCAGCAUCUACUCGGUUCUUCCUUUGCUCUGAGCUGCUACAGCAAAACUUCACAGACCAGCAACUUACGAGGAGCAGGCAGUCAUGUGGCUUGUGGGCCUCAUCAGGUCUGAUGCGGGCUCUGCUGUGUCACAACACGGGGGAAGGUCUCACGGGGCAGGGGUAGAUGGAGAGAGAGGCGGGCAUGGCCCUCCUUCUGUGAGGGUCCCACUCCCAGGUAACAGCACCAACGCCCCGUCACCCCGGGAGGGCCCUUCCCAAACACCGCUGCUCUGCAGAGUUCCCAGCACAUGGACUUUGGGGACACAUUCAGGCCCCCGUGGCCAUCAGGGCAUCCACUUUCCCUGGAGUUUCUGAUGUGUCCCUCCCUGGGAAGGACCGCACGCCUGAGCCCCUGGGGCAGCCAGUCCCACCCCUGGGAUACUGCGCCGUGUCCAGGCUGUCCUCAGGAGCUGAGCAGCAGUGAGCCCAAGUCCCUCUGAGUUUCAGGACCUCCCACAAACCCUUACAGAUGAAGCCAUCGAGCACUGAGCCCUAGCCCUGUCCCUCGGCCCCAGGAAGGAACCUGGCCUCCCCAGGGCUCUGGGCCAGGACCUCCAGGUGCUCUUAAACAUGCUGACGACCAGAGAGGGUUGAUGGAGGGGCCUCCCGUUUAAUUUAUUUGCUUGUUUCUGGUUUGUUUUACAUGACAGGAGAACGCGUUCUGACAUAUUGGGCACAAGUGGAGCACAACCUCUCCUUCCUCUGGCUGAACAUGGUGCAGAGUCACACCGUGGUGUGAUCAGACAUGUACAUAGGGUAAGGAUGUCCAUCUCGUUCUGCUGACCCUCCCAUCCCCACACCCUCUCUCCUCCCCUUACUCCCCUCUGCACAAUCCAAGGUUCCUUUAUUCCACCACACCCCCACUAGGGAUUAGUAUCUGCUCAUCAGAAAAAACAUCUGGCCUUUGGUGUUUGGGGUUUGGCUAUUUCACUUAGCAUGAUAUUCUCCAGCUCCAUCCACUUGCAAAUGCCAUGAUUUCAUUCUUCUUUAAGGCUGAGUAAUAUUCCGUGGUGUAUAUGUACCCCAUUUGGUUUAUCCAUUCACCCAUUGAAGGGCAUGCCAGUUGGUUCCAUAGCUCAGCUCUUGUGAAGGGAGCUCCUAGGUACAUUGAUGUGGCUGCGUCACUACAGUAGCCGAUUUUAAGCCCUUUGUGUAUCAACUAAGGAGUGGGAUAGCUGGGUCCAAUGGUGGUUCACUCCCAGUUUCCUGAGACUCUCCAUCCUGCUUCCCGUGGUAGCUGCCCGGGUCUGCAGUCCGCCCGCGGUGUGAGAGUGGGCCUUUCCCG